This is a non-coding RNA of Acyrthosiphon pisum (pea aphid), 46 nucleotides long. Lineage: Eukaryota; Metazoa; Arthropoda; Insecta; Hemiptera; Aphididae. The record is from Rfam.
AAAACGGCCGUUCUCACGGCCACUAAUUCAAUACGUACGACAAUAU